Molecule: long non-coding RNA, 562 nt
Filed under: Homo sapiens (human)
Lineage: Eukaryota; Metazoa; Chordata; Mammalia; Primates; Hominidae
Description: HSALNT0263222
Source: RNAcentral
CACCGAUGCCCUGCUCCACACCAACUGCGUCCUUUUCCCUAGAGAGAAACUGAGGCAGAGAGGGAGUUCCCUGCUCGCUCGGACACCCCAGCGCCCUCACAGAGACCCCUCGGACUCCCUGGGCCCCAGCCCCUCACGCAGCCCCUCAGACUCCUCACCGAAGCUGCCGUCACUCCCGCAGUUCCCCACCCCUCCCGUGGAAGACCCAUCCCUUAACCGAGCCUUCCUCUCCUCGCUCCACCAUGCCCAGCCUAGACCCUUAAGAAUGUUUGUUGAAUGGGUGGGUGAAUGUGCUGAGGCAUGGAGUCCAGUCCAGAGUCAUUCCUUCCUUAUGAAGCUUACAUACAAAUUAGAGAGAGAGAGACAAAAAGUAAAAACUACAGGUGAUAAAUGCCAGAUAGUGAUAAAUGCUAUUCAGAAAAAUAAAGCAAAGUAACAGGAUAGUUUAUGGAGGAUGUUACUUUAUAUGGAUGGUCAGGGAGGACACUGUGAGGUACUCCCUGUGCCUACUCUAGGGCGCCCUGGGAGCUGAGACCUGAAGGAAGUAAGACAUGUGGCUAUC